RNAcentral lists this unclassified non-coding RNA (186 nucleotides) under uncultured Elaphomyces. RNAcentral describes it as "sequence contains ITS2". The record is from RNAcentral. Lineage: Eukaryota; Fungi; Ascomycota; Eurotiomycetes; Eurotiales; Elaphomycetaceae.
CCAUCCCUCAAGCUCCGCUUGGCUGGUUGGGCCGGCGUCCACCGGUAGACACCGGUGGACGGGCCUGAAAGGCAGUGGCGGCUCCCGGGGACUCUGGUCCCGGGGGCGGUGAUGCAUGGGUCUCUUCAUCCACCGUCCCACGGGCCACGCCCCCGGAGUCGGUCGAACGGUCGGUCUUCCCCUGUA